This 666-nucleotide small RNA is filed under the name Pan troglodytes (chimpanzee). RNAcentral describes it as "retained intron". The record is from RNAcentral. Lineage: Eukaryota; Metazoa; Chordata; Mammalia; Primates; Hominidae.
CUCCCCACUGCCCAUUCUCUGCUCUGGGUUCUGCCUGAUAGCAUGAGUGGGGCCUGCUUCUUCACUCUGUCUGCUUCACUUCUCCAGAGCAGGAGGAGGCAGCGGAAGAGGAUGCUGAAGCAGAGGCUGAGAUCGAGGAGACCAGGGCAGAAGAAGAUGAAGAAGAAGAGGAAGCAAAGGAGGCUGAAGAUGGCCCAAUGGAGGAGUCCAAACCAAAGCCCAGGUGAGUGGGGAGGCACCUGGGUAGAGCCGGGAGCAGAGGCUCAGGGAGAGAGGAUGAUGAUGGAACAGGGUGCAGUAUGGUGCAGUGGACACGGGCUGGGGGUUUGGUGGGCACAGAGCACCACAGUACAGUUGUACAAGUUGUGUACUGCACAAGCGUCUCUUCCUAAGGGAGUGAGUGAGGGCUGAAUUCCACCCAACACUCCAUCACCAAUCGUGCACCCUAGCAGGGAUGGGGCUAUGUUCUUCUAGAGGAAGGGCCCUGAACAGACACUCUCCUCUCUCACAGUAUGGCCAGAACACCCUCCUCCAUGGCCGAGGUGGGACCUUGGGAUUAAGGGAAGCAGAUUGUGGGGAGCCAAACAAUGAAACCGUGCCAGCAUAGGCAUGGCGGCUUCAGAGAGCUGAGAGAGGGCAGGGUGGCUUGGUGCCACACACGUGAAG